CGUCACUGAGGGGUCGGUGCAGCGGGAUGACGCAACUUCCGGAUUUCGCAUGCCACACGCUGCCGGAAGUGCGGGUUCCGUGCACAGGACGGCGGGGACGUGGAGGCAGACACAGAUACACGGUACAGUGCAUAAUUACCACACACGAACGCCUCAACGAGUUUUGCACUCUUGAAGAUGUUGCCAUAUUGGCGCAGAAAUGUAUGCACUUUCCUAUAAGGUGCAGACAGUCGCACUACACCAGGAUCCAGUGUUUGGCACAGCACAGAGUGGGGAACGUCAGCC
Long non-coding RNA from Pseudophryne corroboree (corroboree frog), 285 nucleotides. RefSeq lists it as uncharacterized. The transcript has 3 exons. NCBI's taxonomy places the organism in Eukaryota, Metazoa, Chordata, Amphibia, Anura, Myobatrachidae. The record is from RefSeq and is a predicted model, not a curated record.